GAGCAUUGAUGGCCUGGUUUCCAACCUGCGCAUUGUGGAUGGGACGGUGGCAGUGUUCAUUGUUGUUUCUCAGCGCUCCUCCGCGCCAGUGCGGGACCAAGUCGAUGUAUGCUUCAGAAGCAGAGGUGGGUGUCAAAUUGACUCGAUGAUUCAGAGACAGAUGUGGAUGCCAAAAUGAACUACACUUCCUUCUUGAUGGUUCCUGGUAUGCGUAAUUUCCUUUUGAUUUCAGAUUUCUGAGUGCUUGUUGAUUUCGUUUUCCUUCAAACAUUACAGAUGGCUGUGGCGGUUCUGGACUGACCAUGGAGAAAUCUCCUUCUGCAUUGAAAUGUGCAGCAAGAAGAACAACCAGCAGAUUUAGCAUUUAUUUUGCCAAAACUUCAGGUUACUGUAAUUAAAAAUCAGUGUGCCUUUAAUCGGCAUCAACGGCGGUCUCGUUGAUUCAUUGUUGGACAUGGUACCGUAAUUUAGCAUUUAGUUAUUUGGUUUGAUGCACACAUUUGAAAAUCGACAUCCCAAAACCGGUUUCAGUAUUUGCAGUUUGCAGCUAGAUGAUGAAAUAUUUGAUCCUGCUGAUCAACACGGCAUUAUCUAGAUGUUGGCCUUCCACGGCAAGACCAUUUGUUUACUUUGAAAUGCUUGUUCAUGACAUGUAAGUAACUUGCACCAGUCAUGUAUUUGCUAAUAUAAAUAUUCCCUUUGUUAGUUGAAUAAUGUGGUAAUUACACUGUCACUACUUUGCCUGUACGUGCUAGAUAAAGAACUUUGACAUGUUAGGUCUUAUUUUCAGAUCAUGUUAAAUUUCAUGUUUAUAUUACCAACUUACUAUAUUAUCUAUGGUCCAUUUUGUUUAGAUAUUAUAUAUAAUACUGGAGGGUUUUGGUUUCUCGGGGGAUUGAUCCUGGCAUAAUAUACUCCCAUGGUUUUCUAUGAAGGUUUUGGCACUGUUAGGUUCCUUCGUGUGAGAUUUUCAUGGAUGCAUGGGCUGAGUUGAGGUGGUUGGUCUUGUGAUAUGUUAGUUUGUUUUUUUCCCUUUGCGUAUGAAACAGGUAUUUCUCGUAGAAAGAAACGGAAGGUUCUUGCAUUCUAUGUCAGUUAAACACCUUUGUUUCCCUCUCUGUUUGAGAUGAUUGGCUUGUUUCGUAGUCCUACUCUUGAGCACCGCCGAUGAUUAUAAGUGAUCCUUACAUAUGGAAUAGUUUCAUAAUUAGGUAAAUAUGGUGCUACUGGUUAUAAUCAUAGGCAUAUGGUCCUACUCUAGCAAUCUAAAUUGGCAAUUCACGAACAGACUGUAUAAAGUAAAAUGUAGGUGUUACCCAAGUCAUGUUCCCCACAGUCAAAUCCUUAUUCAUGGAAUUCAUAUAUCUUCACAUGUGAUCCUUAUUCA
This is a long non-coding RNA of Lolium rigidum, 1387 nucleotides long. RefSeq lists it as uncharacterized. The transcript has 3 exons. The record is from RefSeq and is a predicted model, not a curated record. NCBI's taxonomy places the organism in Eukaryota, Viridiplantae, Streptophyta, Magnoliopsida, Poales, Poaceae.